AUAUUACGUUGAAGCAUCGGUUUCCGUACGAUCACCGAAGUUAAGCAACAUCGAGCCUGGUCAGUAUCUAGAUGGGUGACGGCUUGAGAAUACCAGGCGUUGUAAG
Molecule: non-coding RNA, 106 nt
Organism: Acanthosepion pharaonis
Lineage: Eukaryota; Metazoa; Mollusca; Cephalopoda; Sepiida; Sepiidae
Source: the annotation of a GenBank genome assembly